RNAcentral lists this long non-coding RNA (929 nucleotides) under Equus caballus (horse). RNAcentral describes it as "lncRNA (ENSECAG00000046758.1)". Lineage: Eukaryota; Metazoa; Chordata; Mammalia; Perissodactyla; Equidae. The record is from RNAcentral.
AAGAAAGGUGAUUGUUAUUUUCAUCUGUUACAUGGAGAUAAUUGUAGCUCUUAUACAUAAUUCAUGUAAAGCACUUGUGUAAAGACGAGUGCCUAGCAUAAAGUGAGUGCUCCAUUCCUGUUAGCUUCCAUCAUCAUCAUCAUAUCACCCUUGUCCCUGGCUGUAGAUUUGACAUAAAUUCCAUGGACACAAUAUGUAAAUCAUAUGGACAUCGUCUGAGAAGAGUCUGUCUCCUCUGGUAGCUCUUUAGGAUAAACUGAAAACUUCUGAGCCUGCUUGCCUCUGGCUCCUUCGUUUUAAAUCCUGGAAUUUCCAAGGUUACGACAAAGACUUCCACGUGAGAUACAGGCAAAGAACCGUUCCCUCCUCUCACCAGAACUGAAACUCUGAGGCUAUGAGUCUGGAGCUUCUGGCAGCCAAUGUGCUUCCAUGAGGAGAAAGCCAGCCUGAGAAACAAACCUGGAAAGCAGAGUCAAGAGAGGAGAGAAAGUGAGUCCUGAUGCCGUCAUCUGAGGCAGUGUUUUCAGCCACACCCGCAGUCAGCUUUCCCCUGGACGACUUCUGUUUCAAGAGCUGAUACAUUUGACUUUUUUACUUGAGCCAGUUUGAGCUAAUUUCUUUCCUUAUAAAUGAAGGAGUUCUGAGUGAUACAAGAUGAUUGCUAGAGAAAGGAGAGGGAACCUACAAACCUCUAGUCACAGGAACCUUUGCCGAGAAACAGACUAGUGGACACCAGGCAUGGUCAGUGGAGACAGACCAACUGGAACCCAGGAUUAAAGUCAGUCCUGAAGAAUUGCCAGAAUGUAUUGAUUCAAAGUAAGGCUUAUUAUUUUUAAGCAUCUGUGAUCAAUUAUUUAAAGUAUUUGGGAAGGCUGCAAAGUGUUCUCAGGAUAAGAAAACAAACUUUGUAGUUGAAGCUUAAGAAAGUG